Molecule: ribosomal RNA, 450 nt
Filed under: uncultured bacterium
Lineage: Bacteria
Description: partial 16S ribosomal RNA
Rfam family: Bacterial small subunit ribosomal RNA
Source: RNAcentral
GUGGGGAAUAUUGGACAAUGGGCGAAAGCCUGAUCCAGCCAUGCCGCGUGUGUGAAGAAGGUCUUCGGAUUGUAAAGCACUUUAAGUUGGGAGGAAGGGCAGUAAGCUAAUACCUUGCUGUUUUGACGUUACCGACAGAAUAAGCACCGGCUAACUCUGUGCCAGCAGCCGCGGUAAUACAGAGGGUGCAAGCGUUAAUCGGAAUUACUGGGCGUAAAGCGCGCGUAGGUGGUUCGUUAAGUUGGAUGUGAAAGCCCCGGGCUCAACCUGGGAACUGCAUCCAAAACUGGCGAGCUAGAGUACGGUAGAGGGUGGUGGAAUUUCCUGUGUAGCGGUGAAAUGCGUAGAUAUAGGAAGGAACACCAGUGGCGAAGGCGACCACCUGGACUGAUACUGACACUGAGGUGCGAAAGCGUGGGGAGCAAACAGGAUUAGAUACCCGGGUAGUCC